This is a long non-coding RNA of Clupea harengus (Atlantic herring), 866 nucleotides long. Lineage: Eukaryota; Metazoa; Chordata; Actinopteri; Clupeiformes; Clupeidae. The record is from Ensembl.
UUUUGGAGUUACCAAUGACCAGCUUGGUGGAGACGGUAUCAAUGACCAGCUUGGUGGAGUGGAGGAGUUACCAAUGACCAGCUUGGUGGAGUGGAGGAGUUACCAAUGACCAGCUUGGUGGAGUGGAGGAGGUACCAAUGACCAGCUUGGUGGAGGAGUUACCAAUGACCAGCUUGGUGGAGGAGGUACCAAUGACCAGCUUGGUGGAGUGGAGGAGUUACCAAUGACCAGCUUGGUGGAGGAGGUACCAAUGACCAGCUUGGUGGAGUGGAGGAGUUACCAAUGACCAGCUUGGUGGAGUGGAGGAGUUACCAAUGACCAGCUUGGUGGAGGAGUUACCAAUGACCAGCUUGGUGGAGUGGAGGAGUUACCAAUGACCAGCUUGGUGGAGGAGGUACCAACGACCAGCUUGGUGGAGUUCAAAUGUGCCAAAACCAGCCUGGAGAUGACUUUGUCACAGUCUAAGGAUCCAGUAGUCAAGAACACUGCUCCAGCAGUAAAAAACAGGGAAGAAGUGGAAUCCACAAGAAGCGGUUCAACAUGCACAAGGCCCAUUACUGCAUAGGGCUAUCAUUGGGCAGGUACAGAGUGGAAGAGCAGGGUUUGGACUAGGUGACUUGGAAAGCAGGAGGAGGCAGAUGGUAACUAGCUUUGUUCGCGAGCAAGAAAAGGAGUGGGCAGGUGAGGACAGAAAAUGCAAGUUGUGUUUGGAUGUUGGCUCAUUAAAACAUAUUUGGCCUGGAUAUGAAAGUAGCCUGACCCAGGGUCACUACAUGUGGAGACAUAAUGAGGUUACAAAAACAUUUGCAUGUUUGUUUGAGAAUGAAUGAGUUGAGGUUGACUCUUGCCAGUUAAAGACAGGGAAA